This 254-nucleotide ribosomal RNA is filed under the name uncultured bacterium. RNAcentral describes it as "partial 16S ribosomal RNA". It matches the Rfam family "Bacterial small subunit ribosomal RNA", at positions 524 to 776 of the family's 1533-position model. The record is from RNAcentral.
UACGUAGGGGCCUAGCGUUGUCCGGAAUUAUUGGGCGUAAAGAGCUCGUAGGCGGUUCGGCAAGUCGGAUGCGAAAUCUCCACGCUUAACGUGGAGGGGCCAUUCGAAACUGCUGUGACUCGAGUCCGGUAGGGGAGUGUGGAAUUCCCGGUGUAGCGGUGAAAUGCGCAGAUAUCGGGAGGAACACCAGUAGCGAAGGCGGCACUCUGGGCCGGAACUGACGCUGAGGAGCGAAAGCGUGGGGAGCGAACAGG